GAUGAACGCUGGCGGCGUGCCUAACACAUGCAAGUCGAACGAAGCACCUUACCUGAUUCUUCGGAUGAAAGUUUGGUGACUGAGUGGCGGACGGGUGAGUAACGCGUGGGUAACCUGCCCUGUACAGGGGGAUAACAGCUGGAAACGGCUGCUAAUACCGCAUAAGCGCACGAGGAGACAUCUCCUUGUGUGAAAACCUCCGGUGGUACAGGAUGGGCCCGCGUCUGAUUAGCUGGUUGGCAGGGUAACGGCCUACCAAGGCAACGAUCAGUAGCCGGUCUGAGAGGAUGAACGGCCACAUUGGAACUGAGACACGGUCCAAACUCCUACGGGAGGCAGCAGUGGGGAAUAUUGCACAAUGGGGGAAACCCUGAUGCAGCAACGCCGCGUGAGUGAAGAAGUAUUUCGGUAUGUAAAGCUCUAUCAGCAGGGAAGAUAAUGACGGUACCUGACUAAGAAGCUCCGGCUAAAUACGUG
This 477-nucleotide ribosomal RNA is filed under the name uncultured bacterium. RNAcentral's name for it is "partial 16S ribosomal RNA". It matches the Rfam family "Bacterial small subunit ribosomal RNA", at positions 28 to 507 of the family's 1533-position model. The record is from RNAcentral.